UGAUAAUUAGUUCAAGAUAAAACAAGUGGUUUCAACUCACUAGACUAUGGGUUACCCUAAUUAUCAA
This 67-nucleotide transfer RNA is filed under the name Ictidomys tridecemlineatus (thirteen-lined ground squirrel). RNAcentral describes it as "Spermophilus tridecemlineatus (thirteen-lined ground squirrel) tRNA". It matches the Rfam family "tRNA". From Rfam's summary of the family: Transfer RNA (tRNA) molecules are approximately 80 nucleotides in length. Their secondary structure includes four short double-helical elements and three loops (D, anti-codon, and T loops). Lineage: Eukaryota; Metazoa; Chordata; Mammalia; Rodentia; Sciuridae. The record is from Rfam by way of RNAcentral.